RNAcentral lists this ribosomal RNA (331 nucleotides) under Escherichia coli. RNAcentral describes it as "bacterial LSU rRNA". It matches the Rfam family "Bacterial large subunit ribosomal RNA", at positions 2611 to 2925 of the family's 2925-position model. Lineage: Bacteria; Pseudomonadati; Pseudomonadota; Gammaproteobacteria; Enterobacterales; Enterobacteriaceae. The record is from RNAcentral.
UUAGAACGUCGUGAGACAGUUCGGUCCCUAUCUGCCGUGGGCGCUGGAGAACUGAGGGGGGCUGCUCCUAGUACGAGAGGACCGGAGUGGACGCAUCACUGGUGUUCGGGUUGUCAUGCCAAUGGCAUGCCCGGUAGCUAAAUGCGGAAGAGAUAAGUGCUGAAAGCAUCUAAGCACGAAACUUGCCCCGAGAUGAGUUCUCCCUGAGCCUUUAAGGGUCCUGAAGGAACGUUGAAGACGACGACGUUGAUAGGCCGGGUGUGUAAGCGCAGCGAUGCGUUGAGCUAACCGGUACUAAUGAACCGUGAGGCUUAACCUUACAACGCCGAAG